This is a small nuclear RNA of Octopus sinensis (East Asian common octopus), 104 nucleotides long. NCBI's taxonomy places the organism in Eukaryota, Metazoa, Mollusca, Cephalopoda, Octopoda, Octopodidae. The record is from RefSeq and is a predicted model, not a curated record.
GUACUAGCUACAACGGUACAUAUUCUAAAAUUCGAACGAUACAGAGACUAACAUGGCUUCUAUGGAAGGAUGACAAGCAAGAUCGUAAACCGUUCUAUAUCCUA